AACAAGGCGUACCUGCGGACCUGCGGAAGGAUCAUUACCGAGUGCGGGCCCGCUCCGGGCCCAACCUCCCACCCGUGUCUCUUGCGUACUUUGUUGCUUUGGCGGGCCCACCGGGUCACUCCGGUCGCCGGGGGGCGCUAUGCUCCCGGGCCCGUGCCCGCCAGAGCACCCCUGUGAACCCUGAUGAAGAGAGGCUGUCUGAGUCCCACGAUAAUCGUUAAAACUUUCAACAACGGAUCU
Molecule: unclassified non-coding RNA, 240 nt
Filed under: soil metagenome
Description: partial contains 5.8S ribosomal RNA, internal transcribed spacer 2, and large subunit ribosomal RNA
Source: RNAcentral